This is a long non-coding RNA of Pyrus x bretschneideri (Chinese white pear), 1525 nucleotides long. RefSeq lists it as uncharacterized. The transcript has 5 exons. The record is from RefSeq and is a predicted model, not a curated record. NCBI's taxonomy places the organism in Eukaryota, Viridiplantae, Streptophyta, Magnoliopsida, Rosales, Rosaceae.
UCUUUUGGAAGUAUUUCAUUAAGGAUUUUCCAUGAAUUUCUGAGAAUUCCAUUUUAUCCAAGCUAUGGGCGUUGAAAUGUCAGUACCUUUUUAUUCAAAUUUUUCCUUAUUUGAAUAUUAUGUGUUUAGAAGUGUAAAUUUGCACAAUUGAAUUUUAGUAAAUUUUUCAUACUCUAAUUAAAACAAACCAAAUUAAUUCCCCAUUGUGAUUUAAUAUAAUUGAAUGUUAAUAAUUUUUCAUGCUUUUGUAAAAAAUUUCGUCUAAAUUUCAGAUUUUUGGAGGAUCCGUCAUUAAAUUUAUGGGUUUUUUUGAUAUUUUUAUCUGAGAUUUAGUAUUUUUUUUCUUCUAGAUUUUGUAGAGUACUUCGAUUAAAUUUGUGAGUUUGGUAGUUGUAUUUUUUCUGUGCAUUUUUAGUGAACUUGGUUGUGGGUUUUGAUGUUUGUCUGCAGCAGGGAAAGGGAAGAAGAUCGUUCCAUGCCCUCCACCAGUUCCAGAUUCUCAUUGUGCCUGGCCACCUAGCGAACCAAGUGGUCUUUCAGAACCUGCAGGAGAUGAUCAAAGCGAGAUGAGUAACGGCGUCCAAGGAUGAUUUGGAGCUAGGAAAAAAUCCCUAAUUUUCUCUGCUUCUUGAGAUCGACAUGGCUUCCUCGACUAUUUUCACCGAGGUUUCUCGCUUCAAAUUGGGUUUUAUUUAAGACAAACUUAUACAUCCUAACGCAAAGGGAGAGAGUAGGCAAAUGCUGGCAUUGUUGAUAUUGGGGAGUUGAAAGUCAAGAGGAGGGGGUAAGCACGUAUUAAGUUUUUGUAUCUCAAUCUGAUCGUUUGAUUUCAAAUGCUGAUUGUCUUUCUCUUUUCCUUUUCCUUUUGUUUAUAAAGAAUCAAACUGUUUCAGUUGCUAACAGUGUGGAUCAAGUUGUGGUAAAAAGGUCCUCCGCUUAUAUGAUGAUUUAAUAUAUGAACAAUUUAGAUCAUCCGUUAAUUGACAUUUCAAUUGAAUUUUACUUUCAUAUAAUUUGCUUCACAUAAUGUAAAAACUAUUUUAAUGGUUUCAAUAGGAUGAUAUAGAACAACUAUAUUCAUUUUCUUGACUUUUUUUUUGGCAGCUCAUGAAAUACUUUUCUCGAGCCUUGGACCAAUAAGAAAGUAAAGCACAGAAGUUCUAUAUUACAUGUUAGUUUUAAUCCAUUACUAAAUUUUUUUUUUUUUUUUUUUUCAGGAAAUAAACUUUAUUAAGAUAAAGAGGACUGAACAACAACAUGAAAAGCUGAGAAUGAACAGUCGAAUACCGAGUAAAUUCCACUGCUACCACCCAACAAAUCCAAGUGCUGAAAUUUCAAUUAUUGUUCUUCAGGCCUUGGACAUUGGUAAAGAACAAAUGGUUGAUUUGCUGAGGAAGUAUGAAUCACUAGAACUAAAUACAUGAGCCUUAGAGUGUUGUAAUAUAUUGUACAAACAUGUAUCAUAAAGAUGUAAAUAUGUUUUGAUAUAGAAGUAAAUAUAUUUUAAUAUGUUUUAUAUGUUUAA